Molecule: ribosomal RNA, 1728 nt
Filed under: Salmonella enterica subsp. enterica serovar Agona str. 432613
Lineage: Bacteria; Pseudomonadati; Pseudomonadota; Gammaproteobacteria; Enterobacterales; Enterobacteriaceae
Description: bacterial LSU rRNA
Rfam family: Bacterial large subunit ribosomal RNA
Source: RNAcentral
GUUGUUGGGUAGGGGAGCGUUCUGUAAGCCUGUGAAGGUGGCCUGUGAGGGUUGCUGGAGGUAUCAGAAGUGCGAAUGCUGACAUAAGUAACGAUAAAGCGGGUGAAAAGCCCGCUCGCCGGAAGACCAAGGGUUCCUGUCCAACGUUAAUCGGGGCAGGGUGAGUCGACCCCUAAGGCGAGGCCGAAAGGCGUAGUCGAUGGGAAACGGGUUAAUAUUCCCGUACUUGGUGUUACUGCGAAGGGGGGACGGAGAAGGCUAUGUUGGCCGGGCGACGGUUGUCCCGGUUUAAGCGUGUAGGUGUGUGUUCCAGGUAAAUCCGGUUCACUUUAACACUGAGGCGUGAUGACGAGGCACUACGGUGCUGAAGCAACAAAUGCCCUGCUUCCAGGAAAAGCCUCUAAGCAUCAGGUAACAUCAAAUCGUACCCCAAACCGACACAGGUGGUCAGGUAGAGAAUACCAAGGCGCUUGAGAGAACUCGGGUGAAGGAACUAGGCAAAAUGGUGCCGUAACUUCGGGAGAAGGCACGCUGACACGUAGGUGAAGUGAUUUACUCAUGGAGCUGAAGUCAGUCGAAGAUACCAGCUGGCUGCAACUGUUUAUUAAAAACACAGCACUGUGCAAACACGAAAGUGGACGUAUACGGUGUGACGCCUGCCCGGUGCCGGAAGGUUAAUUGAUGGGGUCAGCGCAAGCGAAGCUCCUGAUCGAAGCCCCGGUAAACGGCGGCCGUAACUAUAACGGUCCUAAGGUAGCGAAAUUCCUUGUCGGGUAAGUUCCGACCUGCACGAAUGGCGUAAUGAUGGCCAGGCUGUCUCCACCCGAGACUCAGUGAAAUUGAACUCGCUGUGAAGAUGCAGUGUACCCGCGGCAAGACGGAAAGACCCCGUGAACCUUUACUAUAGCUUGACACUGAACAUUGAGCCUUGAUGUGUAGGAUAGGUGGGAGGCUUUGAAGUGUGGACGCCAGUCUGCAUGGAGCCGACCUUGAAAUACCACCCUUUAAUGUUUGAUGUUCUAACGUGGACCCGUAAUCCGGGUUGCGGACAGUGUCUGGUGGGUAGUUUGACUGGGGCGGUCUCCUCCUAAAGAGUAACGGAGGAGCACGAAGGUUGGCUAAUCCUGGUCGGACAUCAGGAGGUUAGUGCAAUGGCAUAAGCCAGCUUGACUGCGAGCGUGACGGCGCGAGCAGGUGCGAAAGCAGGUCAUAGUGAUCCGGUGGUUCUGAAUGGAAGGGCCAUCGCUCAACGGAUAAAAGGUACUCCGGGGAUAACAGGCUGAUACCGCCCAAGAGUUCAUAUCGACGGCGGUGUUUGGCACCUCGAUGUCGGCUCAUCACAUCCUGGGGCUGAAGUAGGUCCCAAGGGUAUGGCUGUUCGCCAUUUAAAGUGGUACGCGAGCUGGGUUUAGAACGUCGUGAGACAGUUCGGUCCCUAUCUGCCGUGGGCGCUGGAGAACUGAGGGGGGCUGCUCCUAGUACGAGAGGACCGGAGUGGACGCAUCACUGGUGUUCGGGUUGUCAUGCCAAUGGCACUGCCCGGUAGCUAAAUGCGGAAGAGAUAAGUGCUGAAAGCAUCUAAGCACGAAACUUGCCCCGAGAUGAGUUCUCCCUGAGACUUAGAGUCUCCUGAAGGAACGUUGAAGACGACGACGUUGAUAGGCCGGGUGUGUAAGCGCAGCGAUGCGUUGAGCUAACCGGUACUAAUGAACCGUGAGGCUUAACCUU